Molecule: long non-coding RNA, 4182 nt
Filed under: Sus scrofa (pig)
Lineage: Eukaryota; Metazoa; Chordata; Mammalia; Artiodactyla; Suidae
Description: lncRNA (ENSSSCG00025019859.1)
Source: RNAcentral
AAUUGUAAUAUUCCUGGGUGUCCCAGGUGUCCCAGGCCCAUGAGCGACCCUCUGUGUUUUCACUUGUUGCUCUUCCUGCCGGGAUGCCCUGCCCUCUCCGUCUUUGUGUCUGAGAGGGUGAAUCAGCUGUCUUGGCAAUGAUUAGGGCAGCGACGCCAGAGUAGAUGACCUCUUUGCGUGUGAGCAACGUGGCAGCAUAUGCCGUUUGGUAAGGGGUUUGCUAGGUGAGUACGUGUGAGUAUGUGUGAUGUAUACACCUUUCCACAUCCAGCCUGGCUCCUGGCAGUGUCCUGUGGCAGAACAAGCUUCCUUCUGAGCCCCGAUUAGGCUGCAGCCCCUGAAAGGGGCCCCCAUUCCUCCUUGAAUGUCUAACCUGCAAGCUGGGCCCGUGCCUGAGCCCUGGCUUACUGCAGGACAUCUAGUCGCACCAGUGGCACCACCCAGCGUGAGCCUUUGAGAAACACGUUCCUAAGCACAGCUUCGUGGACCUGCUGGGCUGGCAGGUGCGGGAAUUUGAGCGAUUGCAAUUUGCACAGGUCGACCCUCAGGCAAGCACGCCACCAAUUAUUUCUUGGUGAGCAGCUGCAUCAGUCUUUUGUAGCAUAAUGACAGGGAGUUCGGGAAGCGAGCUUCUGUGAUGGCUUUGGCUGGGGAGCUUUUUCAGCUGCCUCUGUCUUUGCCAGCCACUGUCACUCAUUGGGUACAGAAGAGACCUCAGCCAGCUUCCUGGGGCCUGUUUGCGGCCAAGCUGCAGCUCUUCCGGCGGGGCUGCUCCAUGCCAGGCACCUGGCCUCAUCUCAUCCUCACCACAGCACUGAGAGACUCUUCCCCUUCUGCUGCUGUGUGUGUCCCUGAGGAGUCAGAGAUGAAUGCCGUUUACACCCAGUUCUUGUCUCUCCAAGUUCAUCCCCAGCCACUGUUCCGCAGACCCCCUGUGUUCUAUGUACAUCGAGCUUACGUCCAAGGAGAUGCUGUGUCCCUUAUGUCAUGUGGGCAGCCACCACGUUCUGGAGUCUUAUUCUGUGCCCGAACAUGGCAGCCUGCCACAAUGGCCAUGGACUCUUCCCCUCCCCAUACUCACACCUCCUUGCCAUACUACUUGGGGAGCCCUCUCGUUCUUACCCUAGACUUGGCCGUGAACUUGCUUUGGCGAAUGUAACAUCUGCAAAUAUGCUGCAGGUAGAAACUUGAGAAGCUUUGCCCACUGGGCUGAUCCUCUCUUGCUCUUCCUGGAGCUCUGCCUCUUUGUGAGGAAGCCCGGGCCAGCCUUCUGGAUGCUGAAAGACCCCUGGCCCAUUUGCAUCUGCUGCCUUGUUAACAUUCUGUCAACUGCCAGACGUGUGAGUGAGUCAUUCUGGAUCAUCUGGCCCCCAGCCCACCACCGGCUGGGCACAGACACACAAGAAAGAGCCCAGAGCACCGGAACCAUCCAACUGACCCACAGAAUCCUCUGCUAAAUAAACGCGUGUUGAUUUAAAAUGCUAAAUUUGGGGUGGUUUGUUAUGCAGCAAGACCUAACUGAUACUAGACGUUGUGUUUUAGUGGCGUAACAAACCACGGCAAACUUAAUUGAUUAAAACAACCACUUUCUCAAGCUUGUGGAUAUGAAUUAGGGAUCUGGACAGGGUGUGGCAGGAAUGAUAUGUCUCUGUUCUCUGAUGUCUGGGGCCUCAGCUAGGAAGACCCAAGGCCUGAUAACCUGGAGUAUUGAAUAUAGGGUCUGGAAUCGUCUGGAAGUGAAUUCACUCACUUGUGUUGUGGAUGCUGUGUGUUAGCUGGCAUCUCCACAGGGGUUGCUUGCUGGAGCAGCUGCUCGUGGCCUUUCCGUGUGGCCCGAGCUCCCCACAGUGUGGGGGCUUCCAGGUGGCUGGGCUUUAAUGGAGGCCCAGGUUUCAAAGGCGAGGAUGCCUGCUAACAAUGGGGAGGGGGAUUGCUUUUUAGGGACCUGUGCCAGAAGUCACUUGGCAUCACGUCUGCCCCUCCUGCCACUUACGGGCCAAUCACAAGUCUCUGCUCCCCCCAGGUUCAAGGGAAGGGAAUUUGACUCCACCUUGAGGAUCGAGUGGCAAGGUUGUAGAUGAGUCCUUGGAGCAGGAAAUGCACUGUGAUCUCGUUGGGAAAAUAGAAUCUGUCCCCCAUCAUCUUGUGUGCACGCGGUUCCUACAACAACCCAGUGAAGUGGCGCCUCUUAUUAUCCCCCUUUUUCAGAUGAGAAAACUGAGGCUCAGACGGUUGGUGAUGCGCCGCUCGAGGGCGCGUAGUCAGGAAGGUCGGAGCUGAGCCUGUCCGUUGCCCUGCCCUGCCUUUCCUGGGCUGCCUUUUGACUGGAUCCCAUGUCAGUCGACUUUCUGCUCCUCUCUCAGCUUUGCGCUUUGUCUGCGCGCCAAUGGGUACCAUCUAGCAAGCAGCUGUACCUCCCAGCAUCCCACCCCAUCCUCUUGGGGGUCCCUGCUGUUUCCCCAGUGACCAUUCAGAGGCCAGGGGUCUGUUUUUGUGGGGGAGGGGGAGGGACGUAAAUCACAUCUUGACCCAUCACCACCCUCCUUCCUCAUACAAAGACAGAUGAAGGUCUUUUAAAUCCCCNNNNNNNNNNNNNNNNNNNNNNNNNNNNNNNNNNNNNNNNNNNNNNNNNNNNNNNNNNNNNNNNNNNNNNNNNNNNNNNNNNNNNNNNNNNNNNNNNNNNNNNNNNNNNNNNCCCCCCCCCCCCCGCCCCCGCGUCAUAUGGAAAUUCCCGGCCAGGGGUUGAUUCGGAGUUGCAGCUGCUGGCCUACAUCUGUGGUCUAUCCCAUGGCUCUCGACAAUGUCGGAUCCUUAACCCACUUAACUCACUGAGCGAGGCCAGGGAUCGAACCUGCAUCCUCAUGGAUAGCAGUCGGGUUCUUAACCUGCUGAGCCACAAUGGAAACUCCAAAGACAGAUGAAGUUUGAAGGUGCCUAGUAGGCAUCUUGAACUUAAGUCCUAAGAGGAUGGCGAUGGGGGUCACGUCUCUGGACUUUAAAAGUUUAUUUUCUGUGUUACAAAAAUUAUCACCACAUGAGUAUUUAUUUGCAGCCCAGUUUCCUACUCUGACCCUCCCCUGACACACCAACAAUUCCAACUUCGCCCACAGACAUUUUCCCCUCCCUUCUUAGGAAAAAAAUAGGAGGCCCCAUAGCAGCAGCAGGGUUCUGUGAAGUUUUAAAAAUAACUUUUAUUGAUUAUAAAAUACAUGUAGGAUGCGUGUGGACGGACAAAAUGUCCAUUAACAGGAGGAUAGAAUAGGGUUGUCAGAUAGAAUACAGAAUACUCUGUUGAAUUUGUCUUAUUUUAUUUUUUGUCUUUUGUCUUUUUAUUUUUAUUUAUUUAUUUAUUUUUUGUCUUUUUGCCUUUUCUAGGGCUGCACCCGCCACAUAUGGAGGUUCCCAGGCCAGGGGUCCAAUUGGAGCUGCAGCUGCUGGCCUACACCGCAGCCACAGCAACGUGGGAUCCGAGCUGCGUCUGUGAGUAACACCACAGCUCAUGGCAAUGCCAGAUCCUUAACCCACUGAGCAAGGCCAGGGACUGAACCCGCAACCUCAUGGUUCCUAGUCGGAUUCAUUAACCACUGAGCCACGACGGGAACUCCUCUUUUGUAUUUUUAGGGUUGCACCCUUGGCAUGUGGAGGUUCCCAGGCUAGGGGUCGAAUCGGAGCUACAGCCACAGCAACGCCAGAUCCAAGCAGUGUCUGUAACCUACACCACAGCUCACGGCAAUGCCUGCUCCUUAACCUGCUGAGCAAGGCCAGGGAUCGAACCUGCAUCCUCAUGGAUGCUAGUUGGGUUCGUUAACUGCUGAGCCACAAUGGGAACUCCUAAAUUUGAGUCUCUGAUUAAAAAACAAUACUUUUUGCAGCAAGCUCAUCUCAUGCUUAUAAAAGGGCCCACAUUGCAAGUGUACAGUUUGAUGAACUGUCUCUCACAAAGUGAACAUAUCUGUGUAAACAGCACUCAGAUCAAGAAACAGAACAUCCCAGGCUCCUCAAACUUCCCUUGUGUUCCCAUCCACGAGCUGCCCAUCUCCCCACUAUUCUUUUUUUUUUCUUUUUUCUUUUUUUUAAUUUUCCCACUGUACAGCAAGGGGAUCAAGUUAUCCUUACAUGUAUACAUUACAAUUACAUUUUUUUCCCCACCCUUUGUUCUGUUGCAACAUGAGUAUCUAGACA